CCGCGGUGGAGGGAAGCUCGGGGGGCCACGGCCGAGCGCCGGGGUGGGUGGCUGGCGGACACCGACUCGGCAGCAGCGCCCGCACGUGAGCGUUAACUCGGCGUCCGCCCGAAGAUUUCAUCCUGAUGGCUGCCUCAAGACCACUCACUGCCCUGGAUGGGGAUCCCAUGGCUGUGGAGGCCUUGCUCCGGGAUGUGUUUGGGAUCGUCCUAGAUGAGGCCGUUCGCAAAGGGACCAGUGCCUCCGAGAAGGUCUGUGAAUGGAAGGAGCCUGAAGAGCUGAAGCAGCUGCUGGAUUUGGAGCUGCAGAGCCAGGGCGAGUCUCGGGAGCGGAUCCUGGAGCGCUGCCGGGCCGUGAUUCACUACAGUGUCAAGACCGGUCACCCCCGGUUCUUCAACCAGCUCUUCUCAGGGUUAGAUCCCCAUGCUCUGGCUGGCCGCAUCAUCACAGAAACCCUCAACACCAGCCAGUACACAUAUGAGAUUGCCCCAGUGUUUGUUCUCAUGGAAGAGGAGGUGCUGAAGAAACUCCGUGCCCUGGUGGGCUGGAACUCUGGGGAUGGGGUCUUCUGUCCUGGCGGCUCCAUCUCGAACAUGUAUGCCAUGAACCUGGCCCGCUAUCAGCGCUACCCAGACUGCAAGCAGAGAGGCCUCCGGGCACUGCCACCCUUGGCCCUCUUCACAUCAAAGGAGUGCCACUACUCCAUCAGUAAGGGAGCUGCUUUUCUGGGACUUGGCACUGACAGUGUCCGAGUGGUCAAGGCUGAUGAGAGAGGGAAAAUGAUCCCUGAAGAUCUGGAGAGGCAGAUUAGUCUGGCCGAGGCUGAGGGCUCUGUGCCGUUUCUGGUCAGUGCCACCUCUGGUACCACCGUGCUCGGGGCCUUUGACCCUCUGGAUGCGAUUGCUGAUGUUUGCCAGCGUCACGGAUUAUGGUUCCAUGUGGAUGCUGCCUGGGGUGGGAGCGUCCUGCUGUCCCGGACACACAGGCAUCUCCUGGAUGGGAUCCAGAGGGCUGACUCCGUGGCCUGGAACCCUCACAAGCUUCUCGGUGCAGGGCUGCAGUGCUCCGCUCUUCUUCUCCGGGACACCUCGAACCUGCUCAAGCGCUGCCAUGGGUCCCAGGCCAGCUACCUCUUCCAGCAGGACAAGUUCUACGAUGUGGCUCUGGACACUGGAGACAAGGUGGUGCAGUGUGGCCGCCGCGUGGACUGUCUGAAGCUGUGGCUCAUGUGGAAGGCACAGGGCGGGCAAGGGCUGGAACAGCGCAUCGACCAGGCCUUUGCUCUCACCCGGUACCUGGUGGAGGAGAUAAAAAAGCGAGAAGGAUUUGAAUUGGUCAUGGAGCCUGAGUUUGUCAAUGUGUGCUUCUGGUUUGUGCCUCCCAGCCUGCGGGGGAAGAAGGAGAGCCCAGAUUACAGCCAGAGGCUGUCUCAGGCCUCCCAGACCCAGCAGACUCGAAUCUCAGGGGCAGCCAGGCCUCCUCCAGCCACCCCUCUCUGGGUCAGAGGUUAAGCUCACCCCCGACCACGAGGAAGAGCAUCAGCAUAACCGGGUAGAAGAACCCCAGGACGAAGCAGAAGAUGUAUUCAUGCACAACUGCAGACACCAGGAACACUCCCAGCAUGGCCGCCCCACGGGCCCGCCUGCCCAAGAGCUGGGUCUCAUGCAUCUGAAACUCACUAAGGAAGCCAGCAAGCCCCAGAAGUCUAUCUGUCCUUUGAUGAUCUGAACAACAUUAGUGGAGCAGAGUAAAAGGAGGGGAGGGCACCCGAGGAAGCCACCUUGCUGGGACCAUGAGAACUGAGGAGUGUGCACGGCUCGUACCCACAGCCCAUCUUGAUACACGUAACUAUACAGCCAGUCAUGGACCACCACGUUCCAGGUGCGGUAGUAGUUGGAGAAGGAAGUAGAGUUCCACCAGUCCUGGGGAGGGUGUGGAUUGGGAGGAAUGAAGGUGAGAUCUCAGGCCCCAGCUACCGCUGCUGCUCCGCACACCCACCCCUACCUGUAUCCUCUUAGAAGGGCUGGCUCUAGGUGGAGCAGAGACAGCAACACUCUCCCAGGCUUGGGUCCCACCCCCUUGCCUACCCACUCAAGAGGAGUCAGUCUUCCUGCUUAAAGGUGUGGGAGUGGCAUCAUCCCCACACCCCGAGGCCCACAGUCCUCAUUACAGGAGACCCAAAGCACUGGGAGGCGACACCCACCACCGCUACCCUCUUCCCUGGGCCCUUGGUCAAUCUCCCCGACUACUGCUCUCAGUGGGCCCCGGUCCAGGCCGCACCCGGUAGAACAUCCUGUCUCCAAACCGCAGCAUCUCGGCGAAGGCGUUGAGCCAGCAAUGCAGGAAGGCGAAGAAGAUGAGGAGCAGCAUGAAGAUGCCUGGCGGGCAGGACAAGAGAUUGGGCCUGGGAACUAGAAAGCACCAGAAGGUCUGGAUAACUGGGUGGUUCUCUCAGAAGAGGCCUGAGCACGCUCGUGAAUAAAGCCACUUAGUCCAGCUGAGGGUCAGAUCUGUGUCCGCUGGGCAACCCGCUUGCAAAGGCAGAGCUUUGCAUCUUCUGGCUUCAUCCAAGCAGCCAAGAGGAUCCAGGAGUUCAUAAUGGGUCAGCGGGACACCUCACCUCUGACACAAAGGAUCCCAGAAUCACAGGUUCACCAAACCCAAGGCUAUAUUGACCUGGUCUUGGAGCCCCCAGGUCCUCACCUGCUCAAAGACCAGCACGCAUCUUGAGGCGGGCGGAAGCUGAUGCUUCACCGCUAUGUGGACUGGGAGGACGCAGAGCAUCGCUGCAUGACCAGCCAGCAGAACACAGCC
This is an RNA transcript of Peromyscus californicus insignis, 2814 nucleotides long. It is a transcript of the gene named cysteine sulfinic acid decarboxylase, with no coding region annotated. The record is from RefSeq and is a predicted model, not a curated record. NCBI's taxonomy places the organism in Eukaryota, Metazoa, Chordata, Mammalia, Rodentia, Cricetidae. The transcript has 18 exons.